This is a long non-coding RNA of Hippocampus comes (tiger tail seahorse), 184 nucleotides long. RefSeq lists it as uncharacterized. The transcript has 3 exons. NCBI's taxonomy places the organism in Eukaryota, Metazoa, Chordata, Actinopteri, Syngnathiformes, Syngnathidae. The record is from RefSeq and is a predicted model, not a curated record.
GGAGAGGAGCACCUCAAACCAAUGUCCGAGUGCUUGACGCUCCUGAUUGAGAUCCAUCCAAUCAACAACACCAAGGUGUUAAAGGCGGUGGACUGCAGGGUCAAAGUGCAGUUCCUCCAUCCUGAAAGUGAGUGCAGAUCAGUGCACGAGAGCCACCUGCUGCUGUUGACUGAAGAUGGAUGUG